GACGAACGCUGGCGGCGUGCCUAAUACAUGCGAGUUGAGCGCUGAAGGUUGGUACUUGUACCAACUGGAUGAGCAGCGAACGGGUGAGUAACGCGUGGGGAAUCUGCCUUUGAGCGGGGGACAACAUUUGGAAACGAAUGCUAAUACCGCAUAAAAACUUUAAACACAAGUUUUAAGUUUGAAAGAUGCAAUUGCAUCACUCAAAGAUGAUCCCGCGUUGUAUUAGCUAGUUGGUGAGGUAAAGGCUCACCAAGGCGAUGAUACAUAGCCGACCUGAGAGGGUGGUCGGCCACAUUGGGACUGAGACACGGCCCAAACGCCUACGGGAGGCAGCAGUAGGGAAUCUUCGGCAAUGGACGAAAGUCUGACCGAGCAACGCCGCGGGAGUGAAGAAGGUUUUCGGGUCGUAAAACUCGGUUGGUAGAGAAGAACGUUGGUGAGAGUGGAAAGCUCAUCAAGUGACGGUAACUACUCAGAAAGGGACGGCUAACUACGUG
RNAcentral lists this ribosomal RNA (497 nucleotides) under uncultured bacterium. Its description in RNAcentral is "partial 16S ribosomal RNA". It matches the Rfam family "Bacterial small subunit ribosomal RNA", at positions 28 to 507 of the family's 1533-position model. The record is from RNAcentral.